RNAcentral lists this ribosomal RNA (485 nucleotides) under uncultured bacterium. Its description in RNAcentral is "bacterial SSU rRNA". It matches the Rfam family "Bacterial small subunit ribosomal RNA", at positions 30 to 508 of the family's 1533-position model. The record is from RNAcentral.
AUUGAACGCUGGCGGCAGGCCUAACACAUGCAAGUCGAGCGGCAGCGGGACCUUCGGGUCGCCGGCGAGCGGCGGACGGGUGAGUAAUGCCUAGGAAUCUGCCUGUUAGUGGGGGAUAACGCGGGGAAACUCGCGCUAAUACCGCAUACGUCCCACGGGAGAAAGCGGGGGCUCUUCGGACCUCGCGCUAACAGAUGAGCCUAGGUCGGAUUAGCUGGUUGGUGGGGUAACGGCCCACCAAGGCGACGAUCCGUAACUGGUCUGAGAGGAUGAUCAGUCACACUGGAACUGAGACACGGUCCAGACUCCUACGGGAGGCAGCAGUGGGGAAUAUUGGACAAUGGGCGAAAGCCUGAUCCAGCCAUGCCGCGUGUGUGAAGAAGGUCUUCGGAUUGUAAAGCACUUUAAGUUGGGAGGAAGGGCUGCCGGUUAAUACCCUGCAGCUUUGACGUUACCGACAGAAUAAGCACCGGCUAACUUCGUGC